UGGGGAAUAUUGCACAAUGGAGGGAACUCUGAUGCAGCAACGCCGCGUGCGGGAUGACGGCCUUCGGGUUGUAAACCGCUUUCAGCCAUGACGAAGCUUUUGUGACGGUAGUGGUAGAAGAAGCACCGGCUAACUACGUGCCAGCAGCCGCGGUGAUACGUAGGGUGCGAGCGUUGUCCGGAAUUAUUGGGCGUAAAGAGCUUGUAGGCGGUUUGUCGCGUCGAUAGUGUAAACACGCAGCUUAACUGUGUGCCUGCUGUCGAUACGGGCUGACUAGAGGAGGGUAGGGGAGAAUGGAAUUCCCGGUGGAGCGGUGGAAUGCGCAGAUAUCGGGAGGAACACCAGUGGCGAAGGCGGUUCUCUGGACCUUUCCUGACGCUGAGAAGCGAAAGCGUCGGUAGCAAACAGG
Molecule: ribosomal RNA, 409 nt
Filed under: Fusobacteriota bacterium
Lineage: Bacteria; Fusobacteriati; Fusobacteriota
Description: Fusobacteria bacterium partial 16S ribosomal RNA
Rfam family: Bacterial small subunit ribosomal RNA
Source: RNAcentral